RNAcentral lists this long non-coding RNA (4386 nucleotides) under Homo sapiens (human). RNAcentral describes it as "non-protein coding lnc-TMEM8A-6:1". Lineage: Eukaryota; Metazoa; Chordata; Mammalia; Primates; Hominidae. The record is from RNAcentral.
AGCCCCUCGCCGGCUUGCUGUAGAGGCAGGCGCCGGGUGUGUCGCGGCAGUGCAGCGGCCGCGAAGGGGUGUUUUGCUGUAUGUCAUAUUCCUCGUUUCGCCAGAGCGGGGGUCCCGAGCUUCGGGCGCGGGACGCGGGGGUGCUCCGAGGCUGCGAGUGGAGGCGUGACGUGACGUCCCUGGCAAGAGGCGCGCGGAGUCAGGCCUUACUUAGAACGUGUUCCCGCCGCACAGCUACCAGCGGGCGCGACCGCUACCCACGCAUGGUGCGGUCGAGUAAACGGCACCGCCUGGCGAGCGAGAGACGCAAAGGGACAUAGCCCCCUAGGAGCUGAGCUCUUCGGGGGUAAAGCGUUCUCACGUUGAUGAGACCAGGAGGCGGCGCACGCCUGGCUCCGCGGCCCAGGGGUUGCAGGUGCCCCAGGGUUCGCGGGGCGCAGACGCCGCAGAGGGCGACGCCCUGCCCGGGUCCCGCGCGGACCCGGGGGACGCAGGGUCUGACACGGAGUGCGGAGGGGCCCCAGACACGCAGUCCAUGUCCCUUGAAACCAGAGGCACGCGCGGCCACGCGCUAGGCCUUUCCCUUAAGCCUGUGACCAAGAUCUCCGGGACUCCCAGCGUUGGGACGGGCGCGCUGGCCCACGCCCAAGCGGGAGGAUCGCUUGCGCCCAGGAGAUUGAGACCAGCCUGAGCACCAAAGCGAGACCUCGUCUCUACAAAAAAUAAGACUCAAGAAGACACCCAGGGUGAAUCGCCCGUCUGCAGCCAGCCUCCCGAGCACCGUGGCCGCGUCUGACAACUGACCUCUGUGUCUGGGUGUCCCUGUCCUCAGAGGGACACGGGACCUCAGAAAGGACCACAGCCCGGCGGCAGGCAUGAUGGUGGGAAAGCUAGUUAGGACAGGUGAGGCACUAAAUUUAGCCUGUCAUAAUUUGUAUCAGGGAAAUGAUGAACUUGUAUUUUUACACACCAUGGGCACCAACACAAGAUAUGGUUUCGUAAGCAGCUUUGGCAAGAACCAAAGGAACGGAACCUCUGCUUCCAAGUGUACGGUCAGGAGCAGCGUGUUAAUUAAGUGAGUCAUCUUCCGUGGCAGAAUCCCAGGGUACAUGGGACCAGACUUCGCGAGGCUGGCAUUAGGAAAAGGAAUGUGAGGGAUCCUCCUCCCCAAACCGUAUUCUCAUUUUCUUGUAAGAGCUGUACGUGUUCAUGAGGAAGAUACUGCAUUCAAAGAACGAAAUCACCAGCAGCUUUGGCAAGAAUUCAAAUUUGGGCUGAUGCCUUCGGCCGGAUAAAAUUUUCAGAAGCAGUGAUAGUGAUGUGUCAACCUUUCUAAAUAGGGGUGUUAGUGUGGGCGAGGCAGAGACAGCAGGCUCCCUCUGCUUUUAUGUGCCGGCGCUGCCAGAGGCAGAAGGCUGGCUUUCUGAGAGCAGGGGCCCGCACGCUCUGUCUGUGCUAGGGCUGGAAAACGUCCAUUGCGUGCCCGGCUGGUGUCCUCCAUGGAACCACAGCCUGGAAGCCUGCACCUCCCUGCCUGGACCAGUUAGAGGCUGUUCAUGAAAGACUAAAGGGACAAGUUCCCGUCUAUCCGUCUGCUGUUCAGAGCUACUAUCUGUGUCCCCUUUGUAGGCUGUGGGCUGUAGCAGUUCCUUCUUUUCUUUUCUUUUCUUUUUUUUCCCCGAGACAGGGUUUUGCUCUGUUGCCCAGGCUGCAGUGCAGUGGUGCGACCAUAGCUCACGGCAGCCUCAACCUCCUAGGCUCAAGAGAUCCUCCCACCUUAGGCCAGGUGUGGUAGCUCAUGCCUGUAAUCCCAGGACUGUGGGAGGCUGAGGCGGGCGGAUCACGAGGUCAGAAAAUGGAGACCAUCCUGGCUAACACGGUGAAACCCCGUCUCUACUAAAAAUACAAAAAAACAAAAAUUAGCCAGGUGUGGUGGCAGGCACCUGUAGUCCCAGCUAUUUGGGAGGCUGAGGCAGGAGAAAGGCGUGAACCCGGGAGGCAGAGCUUGCAGCGAGCCAAGAUUGCACCAUUGCACUCCAGCCUGGAUGAUAGAGCAAGACUCCGUCUCCAAAAUAAAAAAUAAAAAUAGAAGAGAGAUCCUCCCACCUCAGCCUCUCCAGUAGCUGAGACCACAGAUCUGCAGCACCUUAUUAUCUUUUUUUUUUUUUUGAUAUGGAGUCUCACUCUGUCGCCCAGGCUGGAGUGCAAUGGCGCGAUCUCUGGUCACUGCAACCUCCGCCUCCCGGGUUCAAGUGAUUCCCCUACCUCAGCCUCCUGAGUAGCUGGGAUUACAGGCGUAUGCCACCAAGGCCGGCUAAUUUUUUGUAUUUUUAGUAGAGACCGGGGUUUCACCAUGUUGGUCAAGCUGGUCUCAAACUCCUGACCUCAAGUGAUCCGCCCACCUCGGCCUCCCAAAGUGCUGGGAUUAUUGGCAUGAGUCACCACACUUGGCCUCAACAUGCGUUUUGGAGGGUAUAAACAUUCAAAGCAUAGCCUCCAUCUUCUCACUCUGUCCUCACAUGUUGGAGAAAGAUUGUCUCUUUUGGGCUGGGCGUGGGAGCUCAUGCCUGUAAUUCCAGCACUUUGGGAGGCCGAGGCGGGUGGAUCACGAGGUCAGGAGUUCAAGACCAGCCUGGCCAAGAUGGUGAAACCCCGUAUCUACUAAAAAAUAGAAAAUUUAGGCCGGGCGCGGUUGCUCAGCCUAUAAUCCCAGCACUUUGGGAGGCAAGGUGGGCGGAUCACAAGGUCAAGAGAUCGAAAACAUCCUGGCAAACAUGGUGAAACCCUGUCUCUACUAAAAAUACAAAAAUUAGCCGGGUGUGGUGGCACCCACCUGUAGUCCCAGCUACUCGGGAGCCUGAGGGAGGAGAAUCGCUUGAACCUGGGAGGCAGAGGUUGCAGUGAGCGAAGAUCGCACCACUGCACUCCAGCCUGGCGACAGAGCGAGACUCCACCUAAAAAAUAUAUGUAUAUAUUAGCCGGCCGUGGUGGCGGGCACCUGUAAUCCCAGCUACUCAGGAGGCUGAGGCAAAGAAUUGCUUGAACCCGGGAGGUGGAGGUUGCAGUGAGUCAAGAUCACACCACUGUACUGCAGCCUGGGUGAUGGAGUGAGACUCUGUCUCAAAAAAAAAGAAAAAAAAUUAUCCGGGGGCGGUGGCGGGUGCGUGUAAUCCCAGCUACUCAGGAGGCUGAACAGGGUAAUCACUUGAGCCUGGGAGGCAGAGGUUGCAAUGAGCUGAGAUCCAGCCACUACACUCCAGCCUGGGCAACAGAGCGAGACUAUCUCAAAAAAAAAAAAAAGGCGGGCGUAAUGGCUCACGCCUGUAAUCCCAACACUUUAGGAGGCCAAGGCGGGUGGAUAACCUGAGGUCAGGAGUUCGAGACUAGCCUGGCCAACAUGGUAAAACCCUGUCUCUACUAAAAAUACAAAAACUAGCUGAGCGUGGUGGCGUGUCCUGUAAUCCCAGCUACCUGGGAGGCUGAGGCAGGAGAAUACUUGAACCCGGGAGGUGGAGGUUGCAGUGAGCCAAGAUCCCACCAUUGCACUCCAGCCUGGGCAACAAGAGGGAAACUCCAUCUCAAGGAAAACAAUAAAAUAAAAAUAAGGCUGGGCACGGUGCCUCACGCCUGUAAUCCCAGCACUCUGGGAGACCGAUGCGGGUGGAUUACCUGAGGUCAGGAGUUCAAGACCAGGCUUGCCAUGGUGAAACCCCAUCUCUACUAAAAAUACAAAAAAUUAGCCAGGCAUGGUGGUGCAUGCCUGUAAUCCCAGCUACUUGGGAGGCUGAGGCAGGAGAAUCACUAGAACCUGGGAGGCGGAGGUUGCAGUGAAUCGAGAUUGUGCCAUGGCACUCCAGCCUGGGCAGCAAGAGUGAAACUCCGUCUCAAAAAAAGAAAAAAGAAAAAAAAAGACUGUCUCUUCUAAUAAGGGCACUGUUCCCAUCGUGAGGGCCCCACCUUGCUGACCGUAUCUAACCCUAAUUAUUAUUAUUAUUAUUUUUUUUUGAGACGGAGUCUUGCUCUGUCGUCCAGGCUGAAGUGCAAUGGCGCCAUCUCAGCUCACUGCAAUCUCUGCCUCCCGGAUUCAUGCCAUUCUCCUGCCUCAGCCUCCCCAGUAGCUGGGACCACAGGCACCCGCCACCAUGCCUGGCUAAUUGUUUUGUAUUUUUACUAGAGCCGGGGUUUCACCGUGUUAACCAGGAUGGUCUCGAUCUCCUGAGCUCAUGAUCCACCCGCCUCGGCAUCCCAAAGUGCUGGGAUUACAGGCGUGAGCCACCGCGCCCGGCCCUAACCCUAAGUUAUACCUCCCAAAGACCUCAUCUCCAAAUACCAUCCCGUUGGCGUUAGGACUCCAAUAUAUAAAUUUUGGGGUAGCAACUGGGAAGA